AGUGAACGUUGGCGGCGUGGAUUAGGCAUGCAAGUCGAGCGAGAACCGUAGCAAUACGGGGACAGCGGCGAAAGGGACAGUAAUGUGUAGGUACCUACCUCCGGGUUCGGGAUAGCUGCGGGAAACUGCAGGUAAUACCGAAUAACGUCUCCGGACCAAAGGUGUGAUUCCACCUGGAGAGGGGCCUGCAUCCUAUUAGCUUGUUGGCGGGGUAACGGCCCACCAAGGUGACGAUGGGUAGCGGGUGUGAGAGCACGACCCGCGUCAUUGGGGCUGAUACACUGCCCAUACACCUACGGGUGGCUGCAGUCGUGAAUCUUCGGCAAUGGGCGCAAGCCUGAACGAGCGACGCCGCGUGCGGGAUUAAGGCCUUCGGGUUGUAAACCGCUGUCGUAGAGGAGGAAAUGCAGGGGGGUUCUCCCCUCUGUUUGACCUAUUCUAGGAGGAAGUACGGGCUAAGUUCGUGCCAGCCGCCGCAGUAA
This 482-nucleotide ribosomal RNA is filed under the name uncultured bacterium. RNAcentral's name for it is "partial 16S ribosomal RNA". It matches the Rfam family "Bacterial small subunit ribosomal RNA", at positions 29 to 523 of the family's 1533-position model. The record is from RNAcentral.